CAGCCGCCGCGGUAAUACGUAGGUCCCGAGCGUUGUCCGGAUUUAUUGGGCGUAAAGCGAGCGCAGGCGGUUAGAUAAGUCUGAAGUUAAAGGCUGUGGCUUAACCAUAGUACGCUUUGGAAACUGUUUAACUUGAGUGCAAGAGGGGAGAGUGGAAUUCCAUGUGUAGCGGUGAAAUGCGUAGAUAUAUGGAGGAACACCGGUGGCGAAAGCGGCUCUCUGGCUUGUAACUGACGCUGAGGCUCGAAAGCGUGGGGAGCAAACAGGAUUAGAUACCCUAGUAGUCCCUGUCUCUUAUACA
RNAcentral lists this ribosomal RNA (301 nucleotides) under uncultured bacterium. RNAcentral's name for it is "partial 16S ribosomal RNA". It matches the Rfam family "Bacterial small subunit ribosomal RNA", at positions 509 to 808 of the family's 1533-position model. The record is from RNAcentral.